GGGAAUAUUGGACAAUGGGCGAAAGCCUGAUCCAGCAAUACCGCGUGUGUGAAGAAGGCCUUCGGGUUGUAAAGCACUUUCAAUUGGGAGGAAAACCUACCGGUCAAUACCCGGUAGCUUGACAUUACCUUUAGAAGAAGCACCGGCUAACUCCGUGCCAGCAGCCGCGGUAAUACGGAGGGUGCAAGCGUUAAUCGGAAUUACUGGGCGUAAAGCGUGCGUAGGUGGUUCGUUAAGUCAGAUGUGAAAGCCCUGGGCUCAACCUGGGAACUGCAUUUGAAACUGGCGGACUAGAGUUUAGUAGAGGGGAGUGGAAUUUCAGGUGUAGCGGUGAAAUGCGUAGAUAUCUGAAGGAACACCAGUGGCGAAGGCGACUCCCUGGACUAAAACUGACGCUGAGGUACGAAAGCGUGGGUAGCAAACA
RNAcentral lists this ribosomal RNA (424 nucleotides) under uncultured Methylobacter sp. RNAcentral's name for it is "bacterial SSU rRNA". It matches the Rfam family "Bacterial small subunit ribosomal RNA", at positions 357 to 774 of the family's 1533-position model. The record is from RNAcentral. Lineage: Bacteria; Pseudomonadati; Pseudomonadota; Gammaproteobacteria; Methylococcales; Methylococcaceae.